RNAcentral lists this ribosomal RNA (512 nucleotides) under uncultured bacterium. RNAcentral's name for it is "partial 16S ribosomal RNA". It matches the Rfam family "Bacterial small subunit ribosomal RNA", at positions 28 to 523 of the family's 1533-position model. The record is from RNAcentral.
GACGAACGCUGGCGGCGUGCCUAAUACAUGCAAGUCGAGCGAAUCAAUAGGAGCUUGCUCCUGAUGGUUAGCGGCGGACGGGUGAGUAACACGUGGGCAACCUGCCUGUAAGACUGGGAUAACACCGGGAAACCGGUGCUAAUACCGGAGAAUCCUUUUCCUCCCAUGAGGAAAAGCUGAAAGUCGGUUUCGGCUGACACUUACAGAUGGGCUCGCGGGGCAUUAGCGAGUUGGUGAGGUAACGCCUCACCAAGGCGACGAUGCGUAGCCGACCUGUGAGGUUGAUCUGACACACUGGGACUGAGACACGGCCCAGACUCCUACGGCAGUCAGCAGUAGGGAAUCUUCCACAAUGGACGAAAGUCUGAUGGAGCACCGCCGCGUGAUGGAUGAAGGCCUUCGGGUCGUCAAGCUCUGUUGUUAGGGAAGAACAAGUCCCGGAGUAUCUGCCGGUACCUUGACGGUACCUAUCCAGAAAGCCACGGCUAACUACGUGCCAGCCGCCGCGGUAA